Molecule: ribosomal RNA, 142 nt
Filed under: Staphylococcus aureus
Lineage: Bacteria; Bacillati; Bacillota; Bacilli; Caryophanales; Staphylococcaceae
Description: partial 23S ribosomal RNA
Rfam family: Bacterial large subunit ribosomal RNA
Source: RNAcentral
CUAAGCAUGAAGCCCCCCUCAAGAUGAGAUUUCCCAACUUCGGUUAUAAGAUCCCUCAAAGAUGAUGAGGUUAAUAGGUUCGAGGUGGAAGCAUGGUGACAUGUGGAGCUGACGAAUACUAAUCGAUCGAAGACUUAAUCAA